CGGACGGGUGAGUAACGCGUGGGUAACCUGCCGUAUGCAGGGGGAUAACACUUAGAAAUAGGUGCUAACACCGCAUAAGCGCACGGAGACGCAUGUUUCUGUGUGAAAAACUCCGGUGGCAUACGAUGGACCCGCGUCUGAUUAGCCAGUUGGCAGGGUAACGGCCUACCAAAGCGACGAUCAGUAGCCGGCCUGAGAGGGCGGACGGCCACAUUGGGACUGAGACACGGCCCAAACUCCUACGGGAGGCAGCAG
This 255-nucleotide ribosomal RNA is filed under the name uncultured bacterium. RNAcentral's name for it is "partial 16S ribosomal RNA". It matches the Rfam family "Bacterial small subunit ribosomal RNA", at positions 99 to 354 of the family's 1533-position model. The record is from RNAcentral.